This 415-nucleotide unclassified non-coding RNA is filed under the name Hevea brasiliensis (rubber tree). The record is from RNAcentral. Lineage: Eukaryota; Viridiplantae; Streptophyta; Magnoliopsida; Malpighiales; Euphorbiaceae.
UUUUUAUAGUAAUUUGCAAUGUAAAAGCAUUUUUCUUUCAUUAUCUUUUAAACAAAGAAGAUUAUAAUUCAAGCAUCCCUAUCCAAUUAUCCAUUGCACAUUGAAUUACUAAGUUUGCCAUAACCAAAAUGAUCCUUCCCCAGUAAAACAACAAAACCCCAAUACACUUUAUAAAUAAAAUAAAACUAAAACAUGCCACCCUUUGCCUUUGGUAUAUGUUUGCCUUCACUUUCCUUGAGUCCUCUUGGCCUUUCUCUUCUCGUUCACGAAGAAACCAAACAACGCCAAAACAGAGAAAGCACUAAAGCAAACUGAGGCAAUAUCGAGUGACACGUGGCGGCCGUUAAUUGCCUGGAUGUCAAAGAGGUUUGUGGUUUUAUGAGCAUCUGUGCUUUGACCGUAAGCCACCUCGGCU